GGAGAGGUGGCUGAGUGGUUGAUAGCCCCGGUCUUGAAAACCGGUAUAGUUAUAAAAAACUAUCGAGGGUUCGAAUCCCUCUCUCUCCU
RNAcentral lists this transfer RNA (89 nucleotides) under Philydrum lanuginosum. RNAcentral's name for it is "tRNA-Ser". It matches the Rfam family "tRNA". Rfam says of the family: Transfer RNA (tRNA) molecules are approximately 80 nucleotides in length. The record is from RNAcentral. Lineage: Eukaryota; Viridiplantae; Streptophyta; Magnoliopsida; Commelinales; Philydraceae.